RNAcentral lists this long non-coding RNA (1081 nucleotides) under Marmota marmota marmota (Alpine marmot). RNAcentral describes it as "lncRNA (ENSMMMG00000024417.1)". The record is from RNAcentral. Lineage: Eukaryota; Metazoa; Chordata; Mammalia; Rodentia; Sciuridae.
GGGCCCCGUUCUCUGUCCUGCCUGGCCGCGGGGGUCACACGGGGCCACCGCAGGGCAAGCCUUGGUGUUCCCAGCCUGCUCUACCCAGCCUGGCACAGCAGCGGGGGCACCUUGGGAAAGCCCUGGGACGUGGGAGCCUCCGUGGUCCCCUGGGGAACAUGGGGACAUUUCCACAUCCUGGUCAGCGUCAUGGCAAGCGUAGGAGCAUCGUGCCUCGGAGGGCAGCGUGGCCACUCCUCCCGCCCCGAGGGACAUGGCAGCUCUCCGUGGGCUCCUCCCGUCCCUAUGCUUUGGUGACUCCGCUGCAGGGCAUCCUGGGUUAGUGACGCUGACCGUGAAGGUGGCCGAGUCCACUGCAAUGGUUACCUCAGCUCUCUGCCCUCCACGCCCCAGCUGCAGGGGGACAGGGGCUGCUACCACUCAGGCUGCAAAGAAGAUGGCAGCUGCCCAGCAGCUGACCGAAGCCCCACGGAUAGGCAGCAGGCUCGGGGCAGCUCCUGGGGCAGCACCCUGGCACCAGGUCCUCACCCCUAAGGGUCCCAGAUCCCAGGAGCAGAGGCCCUGGGACAUCACAGCCUGCGAGUCCUCCCUGGACACGCGUCUGCCUGGCCCAGGGCGUUCUCUGCUCAGUGUUGGGGGCCGGGGGCUCCCGGGGCUCCUGGGGGGUCUGCUUCCCGCUCACCUGGCCGUGGGCAGGACCUGGGCCUGGCCAUGGAGCCGGCUGGCCGCUCUCCCCAGGGUUCCCGAGCUGAGGCCCAGACCCCAGGACCUCAGAAUGCGACCGCAUGGAGACAGGGUCUUUGAAGGGGUGACUAAGCUACCAGGGGCCCCCGGGGUGGCCCUGACGCAGCCUGAUUGGUGUCCACGUGAGGACAUUGGGCAAGCUGGAACCCAGCCAGGCAGGGAGAAGUCAGAGGCCGCAGCCCUGCCACACCCUGCCCUUGGACGUCAGCCCAGAGCCAGGUGGGAGAAGCGGCUGCGGUGGUCCUGCAGUCCGUCUGUGCCCCGGGCCUCCCAGCACGGCUCCUCACUUCUCCAAGGCCAGCAGAGGACUCUUCCCAUGGGACAGACACAGAGUCGC